RNAcentral lists this ribosomal RNA (429 nucleotides) under Gemmatimonadota bacterium. RNAcentral's name for it is "Gemmatimonadetes bacterium partial 16S ribosomal RNA". It matches the Rfam family "Bacterial small subunit ribosomal RNA", at positions 355 to 776 of the family's 1533-position model. Lineage: Bacteria; Pseudomonadati; Gemmatimonadota. The record is from RNAcentral.
UAGGGAAUCUUCGGCAAUGGACGAAAGUCUGACCGAGCAACGCCGCGUGAGUGAAGAAGGUUUUCGGAUCGUAAAACUCUGUUGUUAGAGAAGAACAAGGACGUUAGUAACUGAACGUCCCCUGACGGUAUCUAACCAGAAAGCCACGGCUAACUACGUGCCAGCAGCCGCGGUAAUACGUAGGUGGCAAGCGUUGUCCGGAUUUAUUGGGCGUAAAGCGAGCGCAGGCGGUUUCUUAAGUCUGAUGUGAAACCCCCCGGCUCAACCGGGGAGGGUCAUUGGAAACUGGGAGACUUGAGUGCAGAAGAGGAGAGUGGAAUUCCAUGUGUAGCGGUGAAAUGCGUAGAUAUAUGGAGGAACACCAGUGGCGAAGGCGGCUCUCUGGUCUGUAACUGACGCUGAGGCUCGAAAGCGUGGGGAGCAAACAGG